This 305-nucleotide unclassified non-coding RNA is filed under the name plant metagenome. Its description in RNAcentral is "partial contains 5.8S ribosomal RNA, internal transcribed spacer 2, and large subunit ribosomal RNA". The stretch from base 1 to 105 matches the Rfam family "5.8S ribosomal RNA", at positions 50 to 154 of the family's 154-position model. The record is from RNAcentral.
GAAAUGCGAUAAGUAAUGUGAAUUGCAGAAUUCAGUGAAUCAUCGAAUCUUUGAACGCACAUUGCGCCCGCCAGUACUCUGGCGGGCAUGCCUGUUCGAGCGUCAUUUCAACCAUCAAGCCCCCGGCUUGUGUUGGGGACCUGCGGCUGCCCGCAGGCCCUGAAAAACAGUGGCGGGCUCGCUGUCACACCGAGCGUAGUAGCAUACAUUCUCGCUCAGGGCGUGCUACGGGUUCCGGCCGUUAAACGACCUUCAUAACCCAAGGUUGACCUCGGAUCAGGUAGGAAGACCCGCUGAACUUAAGC